RNAcentral lists this ribosomal RNA (115 nucleotides) under Paramormyrops kingsleyae. Lineage: Eukaryota; Metazoa; Chordata; Actinopteri; Osteoglossiformes; Mormyridae. The record is from RNAcentral.
AUCAGCAGUCAUAUGACUGCUACCCGCUGCCCAGCCCAUUUAAAGCUAAGCGGCUUUGGGGCCGGGCCAGUACCUGGCUGGGAGACCAACUGGGAAAGCUGGGUUGCUGCUGGAA